GGUCUCAUGGUGUAAUGGUCAGCACUCUGGACUCUGAAUCCAGUGAUCCGGGUUCAAAUCUCGGUGAGACCU
Ixodes scapularis (black-legged tick) is the source of this 72-nucleotide non-coding RNA. Lineage: Eukaryota; Metazoa; Arthropoda; Arachnida; Ixodida; Ixodidae. The record is from Rfam.